Tarenaya hassleriana is the source of this 486-nucleotide long non-coding RNA. RefSeq lists it as uncharacterized. The transcript has 2 exons. The record is from RefSeq and is a predicted model, not a curated record. Lineage: Eukaryota; Viridiplantae; Streptophyta; Magnoliopsida; Brassicales; Cleomaceae.
UAUAGUUCAUUACAAAAAUACCAAAGCAAAAAAGGAUAGAAAGAGAGAGAAGAAAAAAGAAUCUGUUCCCAAAAGAUGGCAAUUAGGGUUUCCUUCAAAUCCAUUUUUGUGGUUCUUCUUCUUCUAGUACUCCUCAUAUAUUCUCCUGCUAAAGCACGAAACUUGCGAGAAACGUUCAAAAACGGGAAACGAGAGGCAGCGAGGGAAAAGGGCGGAGAAAAUCGAUCAUUCGGAGGAAGCGUGGAGAGCGAUGGAUUGGUGGAUAUGGACUACACUGCGGCUAACAAGAAAACUCCUAUCCAUAAUCUAAGAUAAAAAAAAAAAUCAUUUCUUUUUUUGUCAACGUUUGUUACUCGAGAGAGUCCAAAAAAGGGGAGAGCCAAAUGUAUUAAUCCAACAAAGCUUUGUGUAAACAGUUUUUUUUGUACACUGAUAUAGAUGGAAGAGCAUGUAGCUAUACAUAUAUAUAUACACACACAUACGAUA